Molecule: long non-coding RNA, 2221 nt
Filed under: Triticum aestivum (bread wheat)
Lineage: Eukaryota; Viridiplantae; Streptophyta; Magnoliopsida; Poales; Poaceae
Description: long non-coding RNA (TAES_LNC012472)
Source: RNAcentral
UACGCUCCCCUCGCUAUCCCACGUGUGUCGCUUCCUCUGUCUCUUCCCAAUCCUCGUUGUUUCCUCUUUGCCAUUUCACACACGCAUCCCCCGGAACAGAGGUUGGGAGAGAUAGCCAUGGCGAUUUGGAUCUCCCUCUCGGCGAUCGACGCAGUUGGUUGUUGGUGACUCGUCUGUGCUCUGUCCCGCUCCCCUGCUGCCUCCGCGCCCCGCUCGACCUCCCGUCGAUUGUCUGCCCCCCCACCAACCCCGGCCACAAUUUUCCCCCUCCCGUCGUUUUUGUUCGUCUGAUUCGGCAUUUUCUCUCGAUUUUCUCUUGUUCCGUAGAUCUGAAUGGUAGUUUUAGGGGUUUCUUAGUCAGAUCUUGUUGUUGUGUGUAUUUCCCCCGCAUUCAUUCGUGUAGAUGUGUGAGGUUCCGCCGGGUUUGAUUUUCGUUUGCCAUGGCGGAUUUAGGAGGCGGAGUGCCCUGUGGUAGGUGGAGGUAGUUCCAGUUUCUAAGGCCGCUCGUCCCAGUCCAUGGCGGGGCGAGGUGACUGGGGGGGUGGGGUGCUCCUUGAGGGGGUUUCACUGUUAGUUUGAUUUGAUCUGUAACUGCGGUGUGUUAACUUGUUUAGUUGUACUAUUAUGCGAUAGUGAUCUAUUCCUAGGUUGUGCAUGUAGGUUUCCCCUAGGAUGACAUCCACUUGGUUGCGUAGUUGUAGUUUUGGCAAUAUAGUUGACACACAUCCACCUUCAUGUGGAUACAGGACUAUAUGAAUGAGUGAGUUGAAGUUGUUGUCAGUGGUUGUUUUGCACUGUAAUUCUGAAUUGAUUCAUAGUGUAUUCCCCAUUUGUUAUUACAGUGUAAUUUUUAGUGGAUUUACAGUGUAUUUUCGCUAUAGAUUUACAAUGUAGUUCUCACUGGAUUUACACUGUAAUUCCUAGUAGAUUUGCAGUGUAUUUUCUUAGGGGUUUUACACUGUAAUUUCUAGUGGAUUGUACAGUGUAAUCCCCAAUGGAUUUACAGUGUAUUUCCUAGGGGUUUUACAGUGUAAUUCUUAGGCGUUUUACACUGUAAUUCUUAGUGGAUUGGGUGAUGAUUGCCUUUAGUCUAUCACCUACGUUCUGCUCCACUCAUUCUGUAUUGUUUCUAGCACUACCAUAACCCACUGCCAUGCUACUACUAGUAAUCCCAACCACUACACUGAACAAAUAAAGUGUAUAUUUGCACUGUAAUUUCAUUUAUUUUCAUUGUAAUUUCAGUAGUGUGCAACUUGCAGUGUUUUUCUCUGAAAUUUUCCAGUUUCUCGGUGUUCCUUUUAGUGAUUUUUGCAGUGUAACUUGCAAUGAUUUGUAUUGCUAUUUUCCAGUAUUUUUUAGUGUUAUUACUUAAAGCGGAGUAGUUUUGUAAAUGUGUAUGCUCAUCCGUGCAAUUUCAUUCAGUUAAUCUCACACCGAGUCAUUUUGGUAUAUAUUUUCAGGAAAAUCCCUUCAAUCUGUGCAUGUACAUUCAUGGACUCUAAUUCAGAAUUUUCAGGAAAUAGUGAUUUUACACUGUAAUUUUAAUUGGAUUUACAGUGUAAUUCUUUAGUGUAUUUUAGUGGUUGAUUACAGUGUAAUCCUUAGUGUAGCUAAACUGUAAUUUUUGUACUUACAGUCUAUGUACUGGAAUUUUCCGGUCUAACUUUGCAGUGUAAUUACACUGUACUUUCAGUGUAAUUAAUCUGUUUAUUAUGUGUAAUUAAGCUGAAUUUUUGUACUUACAGUCUAUGCACUGAUACUUUCCAGUCUAAUUUACAAUGUAAAUACACUGUAAUUUUCAGUGUAAUUAACCUAUUUUUUGUAGUUACAGUCUAUGUACUAACAUUUUGCAGUCUAAAUUGCAGUGUAAUUACACUAUAAAUUCAGUGCAAUUUGCAAUGUAAUUACACUCAGCGUUUAACCUGUGUUUUAACCUGAACUUUUGUUCUUGUAGUCUAUGUACAAUGUUUUUCCAAGCUAAAUUGCAGUGUAACUCUACUGUAAUUUUUUAAUCACAUUUAUGUCCUAUAAGGCUUGUGGGCAGGUACCCCUUGUUAUUUCUCCUGAUGGCAGUGUAAAUUGUUCAAAGAAGCCAAAUAGACGAGUUUCCUUUGCAGCACAUUGUACGUCAGUGUUGAGUUUUCAUCAAAAAUGGGAGGAGGCUUGGUUGAGUGUAUCAUGUGAUCAUUUUUCCUCCAGCUGUCUAUGAUAUACUUGUCAG